UUCGGUGGCUAUAGCGCGGUGGAACCACCUGUUCCCAUUCCGAACACAGAAGUGAAACGCCGUUGCGCCGAUGGUACUGCAUGGGUCACUGUGUGGGAGAGUAGGACGCCGCCGGAU
RNAcentral lists this ribosomal RNA (117 nucleotides) under bacterium. The record is from RNAcentral.